This 565-nucleotide ribosomal RNA is filed under the name Lunella sp. Fiji. RNAcentral describes it as "partial 16S ribosomal RNA". It matches the Rfam family "Bacterial large subunit ribosomal RNA", at positions 1816 to 2597 of the family's 2925-position model. Lineage: Eukaryota; Metazoa; Mollusca; Gastropoda; Trochida; Turbinidae. The record is from RNAcentral.
CGCCCCCCGAACUUAGUACCAAUAACUAAAACAUCCCUUUAUGGGGGGUCGGACCUGCCCGGUGACAUAUGUUAAACGGCCGCGGUACUCUGACCGUGCAAAGGUAGCAUAAUCAUUUGCCUUUUAAUUGAAGGCUUGUAUGAAUGGUUUAACGAGAACUAAGCUGUCUCUUUUAGAAUAUAAAGAAAUUAAUUUUUAGGUGAAGAAGCCUAAAUUUAGUUGAGGGACAAGAAGACCCCUUUGAGCUUUAGUAAAUUAAUAAAAACCCGUUAUUAUUAAGAAUAUUUAAAACCUUUAUUAUAUACAUAUAAAUAUUAUUUAUUAAAAAUCUUUAGUUGGGGCGACUGAGGAACAAACAAAGCUUCCUUUAGAUUUCCAUAAACAGAAAAUCAAUUUACAAGAUCCAGUAUUUACUGAUCAGAGAAAAAAGUUACCACGGGGAUAACAGCGUAAUCCUCCUAAAGAGCUCUCAUCGAAGGGAGGGUUUGCGACCUCGAUGUUGGACUAAGAUAUCCUAGAGGUGCAGAAGCUUCUAAUGGUUAGUCUGUUCGACUAUUAAAAUCUU